GACGAACGCUGGCGGCGUGCUUAACACAUGCAAGUCGUACGGUAAGGCCCUUUCGGGGGUACACGAGUGGCGAACGGUUGAGUAACACGUGAGUAACCUGCCCACAACUUUGGGAUAACGCUAGGAAACUGGUGCUAAUACUGGAUAUGUGCUCCUGCUGCAUGGUGGGGGUUGGAAAGCUCCGGCGGUUGUGGAUGGACUCGCGGCCUAUCAGCUUGUUGGUGGGGUAGUGGCCUACCAAGGCGGCGACGGGUAGCCGGCCUGAGAGGGUGACCGGCCACAUUGGGACUGAGAUACGGCCCAGACUCCUACGGGAGGCAGCAGUGGGGAAUAUUGCACAAUGGGCGCAAGCCUGAUGCAGCAACGCCGCGUGCGGGAUGACGGCCUUCGGGUUGUAAACCGCUUUCAGCAGGGACGAAGCUUUUUGUGACGGUACCUGCAGAAGAAGCACCGGCUAACUACGU
This 464-nucleotide ribosomal RNA is filed under the name uncultured bacterium. RNAcentral's name for it is "partial 16S ribosomal RNA". It matches the Rfam family "Bacterial small subunit ribosomal RNA", at positions 28 to 506 of the family's 1533-position model. The record is from RNAcentral.